AUCAGGGAGACUGCCGGGCUGUCAUGAGGUGAUGAUUAAUGUUCCUUUUGUCCGUCACGGCCAUGUUUUGGCAAACCCCUCAGAUCAGGGAAGACCUUAGGAAGACUCCUCGUAAACUCCAUAUGCGCUCCUCCUACAGUGCGAGAAAGACGACGAAUCUCGUAGGUUUCCGAACGCGCAUUCUCAUCCCCGGUAUAAAUUAUGCCUCCUCCCUACCAAGGAGCACCAUUCGACUGCAGAUCGUCCCCCACACCACCCACUACAACAUGCUCUUCGUGCGCUCACCGCUGGCCGCCGCCCUGGGCGCGCUGCUGCUCGUCGCCGUGCUGCUCCCGGAGUGCCUCGCCCAGUACUACGACCCGUACUACGGCCCCGGCUACUACCACCGCCGCUCCUACCACUACUACGGCGGCGGCUACCCCGUCGUCGGCGCCGGUGUUGGCUUCCACGUCGGCGUGGGUGCCGGCUACGGUGGGGGUUACGGCGGGUACGGUGGUGGUUACUACCGCCGUUGAGAGGCUCAAUUCGCUUAACUAUCUGUGCUGGUGUCCGCGCGUUGAUGUACACCGGGCAGAAACUACGAAGUUCGCAGGCUUUCUUUCAAGCGGAUUCUAACAGAAUCUGCCCAUUUAAUGAGGCGCUUUAGUGCAAUAAGGUCCCACUAAGGGGUCUUGGGCCAAGGCUUAGCUCUCCCCCUCGCUCUCUGGAUCCGCGUGCCCGUGCGUAUAUCCGGCAGAGGGCAGUCCCAGGAGGCAGAUAUCUUCAAAUUUUAUUUGGUAGAUUGUUAAUAAGUGUAAGGAGUGCGGUAGAAUGCAGACAUGUCUAUACCUCUGUAUUACACUCGAGUUGUACGAAAUAAAAGAGAAAACGGAUGUAUCUCUGCCUUUAUAAAAUAAUUACCAUCUACAUUCGCCAUUCAUUCGCACGCUUUUAUUUUCCGACAACACGCUCAGUCAUUCCCUCGUGUCACGAACUGCGGUUUUGACUUUGGGUUUUACCCGACGAGAGCAAAGAACAAAAGAAAAAGAAUCACUCAUCAGAGGUGGGUACCACGCCCCCUUCGAAUAUAUCCUACGAGCAUGCCUCCUCCGCAUCCGUCGCAGGUCGCAGUACCGCGCUUUAAAAACAUCGGCUUCCCGAGGAACCAGUUCCAGUUGGCUCUGUAUACCGUCAGAGGCACCCGCACACGAAUGUCUUCCCCAGCCGCCGCUCUUCGCGCCCUGGUGGUGCUGUGCGGAGCCCUGCUCGUCGCGCUGCCGCCGCCGCCGGCAGCCGCCUACCCGCGCCCCUUCCCGCACCCGCACCCCCAUCCCCGGGCCUUCCCCAUGGCGAUGCCCAGCUACGACCCCUACUGCCCGUACCCGGAGGGCGGUGGCGACGGGUACGACUACGCCUACGGCGCUGAGGACGGCAACGGGCUGUACGGCUCCGGCGAUGCGGGCUACGCGCAAGGCUACAACGCCUACUCCAGCUACAGCGGCUACGGCGCCGGCUCCAUGGGCGGCUAUGGGGGUGGCUACGCGCACCCUUCCGGCAUGAGCGCGUCGUCCUUUGGAGUCGGCUUCGGCAGGUAGAUUGGUCUGCGGUUCGACGUGGGGUACAGAAAACGUCCUAAGGCGAGACUACUUUAUCAUCUACUAUUUCUCGAGCAGGGCGGGGCGAAGAAGGGAGGAGGGGGGGGGGGGGGAAUUGGUGAUUAGGAUGGAAUCGUGACCUCCAUCAGAAGCGAGUGUUCCGAAUCGGUUUCCAAGCAAAGGCCAUUACGCGACGCCCUAGGGGCGUCAUGCUGCUGGGAAGUCCCGUGGUCGUGUCAACAUCCAAUCCUAACGUUGCUACCACCUCUCUUCGUCUUUUAAAGUUUUUUGUGAUUGUGAAUGGAUAGGGCUUGCAGCUGGGGAUAGUAAAUAUACUAUACGGAGUUUA
RNA transcript from Frankliniella occidentalis (western flower thrips), 1923 nucleotides. It is a transcript of the gene named annexin A7-like, with no coding region annotated. NCBI's taxonomy places the organism in Eukaryota, Metazoa, Arthropoda, Insecta, Thysanoptera, Thripidae. The record is from RefSeq and is a predicted model, not a curated record. The transcript is spliced from 4 exons.